This 228-nucleotide long non-coding RNA is filed under the name Elaeis guineensis (African oil palm). RNAcentral describes it as "long non-coding RNA (EGUI_LNC058042)". The record is from RNAcentral. Lineage: Eukaryota; Viridiplantae; Streptophyta; Magnoliopsida; Arecales; Arecaceae.
UAGCCUAUUGAACUUAUUCCAAUGAUAUUUUUGUUUUUGAAGUAGCUCUCAUGGCUGGAGUGCUUUCUAUCUUAUGGCUCCACAAUUUAAAACAUAUGUUUCCAAACACAAAUAAUCUUCAUCUUUCAAUUCAUCAAACUCUUGUCUCCUAUCAAAUCCUGGACCAAGCUAGCACUAGAUCAUACUCUUAUCUGCAUCCAUAUAUUGAGUUUCUCAUUUCUUCAGCCU